Acanthosepion pharaonis is the source of this 111-nucleotide non-coding RNA. NCBI's taxonomy places the organism in Eukaryota, Metazoa, Mollusca, Cephalopoda, Sepiida, Sepiidae. The record is from the annotation of a GenBank genome assembly.
ACGGUGAUAUCACGUGAAAACACCGGUUCUAGUUCGAUCACCGAAGUUAAGCAACGUCGAAACUGGUCAGAACCUAGAUUGGUGACCGAUUGGGAAUACCAGGUACUGAAA